UACGAAGGGGGCUAGCGUUGCUCGGAAUCACUGGGCGUAAAGCGCACGUAGGCGGCUUUUUAAGUCAGAGGUGAAAUCCUGGAGCUCAACUCCAGAACUGCCUUUGAUACUGGAGAGCUUGAGUCCGGGAGAGGUGAGUGGAACUGCGAGUGUAGAGGUGAAAUUCGUAGAUAUUCGCAAGAACACCAGUGGCGAAGGCGGCUCACUGGCCCGGCACUGACGCUGAGGUGCGAAAGCGUGGGGAGCGAACAGG
RNAcentral lists this ribosomal RNA (253 nucleotides) under uncultured bacterium. Its description in RNAcentral is "partial 16S ribosomal RNA". It matches the Rfam family "Bacterial small subunit ribosomal RNA", at positions 524 to 776 of the family's 1533-position model. The record is from RNAcentral.